GGAAGGGGUGUAUUUAUUAGAUAAAAAACCAAUGCCCUUCGGGGCUCCUUGGUGAUUCAUAAUAACUUAACGAAUCGCAUGGCCUUGCGCCGGCGAUGGUUCAUUCAAAUUUCUGCCCUAUCAACUUUCGAUGGUAAGAUAGUGGCUUACCAUGGUCUCAACGGGUAACGGGGAAUUAGGGUUCUAUUCCGGAGAGGGAGCCUGAGAAACGGCUACCACAUCCAAGGAAGGCAGCAGGCGCGCAAAUUACCCAAUCCCAAUUCGGGGAGGUAGUGACAAUAAAUACUGAUACGGGGCUCUUUCGGGUCUCGUAAUUGGAAUGAGUACAAUCUAAAUCCCUUAACGAGGAACAAUUGGAGGGCAAGUCUGGCGCCAGCAGCCGCGGUAAUUCCAGCUCCAAUAGCGUAUAUUAAAGUUGUUGCCGUUAAAAAGCUCGUAGUUGAACCUUGGACCUGGCUGAUCUGUCCUCCUAAUCGAGCGCACGGAUUCGGUCGGGUCUUUCCUUCUGGGGAGCCCUAUGCCCUUCACUGGGUGUAGUGGGGAACCAGGACUUUUAC
This 557-nucleotide ribosomal RNA is filed under the name uncultured Ascomycota. RNAcentral describes it as "SSU rRNA". It matches the Rfam family "Eukaryotic small subunit ribosomal RNA", at positions 194 to 755 of the family's 1831-position model. Lineage: Eukaryota; Fungi; Ascomycota. The record is from RNAcentral.